This 512-nucleotide ribosomal RNA is filed under the name uncultured bacterium. Its description in RNAcentral is "partial 16S ribosomal RNA". It matches the Rfam family "Bacterial small subunit ribosomal RNA", at positions 28 to 523 of the family's 1533-position model. The record is from RNAcentral.
GAUGAACGCUGGCGGCGUGCCUAAUACAUGCAAGUCGAACGCACAGCGAAAGGUGCUUGCACCUUUCAAGUGAGUGGCGAACGGGUGAGUAACACGUGGACAACCUGCCUCAAGGCUGGGGAUAACAUUGGAGACAGAUGCUAAUACCGAAUAAAACUUAGUGUCGCAUGACACAAAGUUAAAAGGCGCUUUGGCGUCACCUAGAGAUGGAUCCGCGGUGCAUUAGUUAGUUGGUGGGGUAAAGGCCUACCAAGACAAUGAUGCAUAGCCGAGUUGAGAGACUGAUCAGCCACAUUGGGACUGAGACACGGCCCAAACUCCUACGGGAGGCUGCAGUAGGGAAUCUUCCACAAUGGGCGAAAGCCUGAUGGAGCAACGCCGCGUGUGUGAUGAAGGCUUUCGGGUCGUAAAGCACUGUUGUACGGGAAGAACAGCUAGAAUAGGGAAUGAUUUUAGUUUGACGGUACCAUACCAGAAAGGGACGGCUAAAUACGUGCCAGCAGCCGCCGUAA